This 92-nucleotide transfer RNA is filed under the name Cystobacter fuscus. Its description in RNAcentral is "tRNA-Tyr". Lineage: Bacteria; Pseudomonadati; Myxococcota; Myxococcia; Myxococcales; Archangiaceae. The record is from RNAcentral.
UUGCCGUCGUAUCGGGUGGUGACGACGCCGUCAUACAGGGCGAGCCGUUGCUGGAAGGUGGAGGACCCCGUGUUCAGGCCCGGGUUGGUGGA